RNAcentral lists this microRNA precursor (78 nucleotides) under Schistosoma haematobium. Its description in RNAcentral is "mir-3492 microRNA precursor family". It matches the Rfam family "mir-3492 microRNA precursor family". The record is from Rfam by way of RNAcentral. Lineage: Eukaryota; Metazoa; Platyhelminthes; Trematoda; Strigeidida; Schistosomatidae.
AGCCUCCUGUAUUGGUGCUGAGAUUUCGUCACACACUAAACCACAUGGGCUGAUGAGACUUUCAAGGUAAGUGAAGCG